Long non-coding RNA from Triticum aestivum (bread wheat), 983 nucleotides. RefSeq lists it as uncharacterized. The transcript has 3 exons. Lineage: Eukaryota; Viridiplantae; Streptophyta; Magnoliopsida; Poales; Poaceae. The record is from RefSeq and is a predicted model, not a curated record.
CGGCCCAAUACGAGCCGGCGAGCAGCCUCACUCUCAGUCCAAAACCGCCGCCACUCCCCUCUUCCACCGGAGACCCAUUUUCCGGCGCGGCUGCUGCUUCCCGCAACAUCGAGCUCCCCGCCUCGCCGACCCACACCAGCGGCCUCGCUCGCGCUUGCCGCCUCGUCCAGUGCCGGAGGCUAUCAGCGCGCGAUGGACCCUGGUUCUUCCCCCGGUGCAUUCUGCCGUCCUAGCUUGCCGUCGCCCUAGCUCCUCCUAUGAACUGCCGCAGUUUCCGUUUUCCCACUCGUCCUGCGAAAGAGAUCUGAGGAGAUAUCCAUGUCUUUGCUAACUGAUGACCUGGUUGUGGAGAUUUUGUCUCGGCUACCGCUGAAGUCCUUUUGCCGCUUCAAAUGCGUCUGCAAGUACUGGCUUACCUUGUCAUCUAAUCCACACUACCGCAAGAAGUUCCCAAGAACUCCCGUUGGUAUCUUGUACCAAAUACCUCAGUAUGGCACUGGCAUCCAUCUCGCUAGGCUUCCCUCAUGCGACAAAGAAAUUGACACAACACUUAGCUUUGUGCCAUGUUAUGAGUACCUAGAGCUUAAGGGUUGCAGCAAUGGCCUACUUCUUUGUUAUCAUGGUGGUAUCACAACAUAUUUCGCAGACAUAUCCCAUGUUAUUGUGUGCAAUCCAGCAACUCAAGAGUGGAUGUCACUUCCAAAUACUGAACCUGGACCGGCAGACUGUGAUUAUGAUCUCAUGCUGUGUUUUGAUCCAUCAUGGUCUCAACACUUUUAUGUCUUCAGCUUCCAGUCUGGGUCUUCCAUGGAUGGUGAAGUCUAUAAUGAAGUUAAGAUAUUUUUCUCCGAGGAUUUCACAUGGUCUAGUUGUCGCUGGAAAAGUGAGAUAGGAUUUUAUGGUAGUUCAUGCUUUGUGAAUGGGGUACUCUAUGUGGGGCAUAUAUGGGAGCAUGUCCUUCUGGCAAUCGAUGCACCCGGCAC